CAGUCACUAUUUCAAGAACUUCACUCUCCAAAAUGUGAACUUGGCACAGUCCCAGAGAUCUCUGUCCUCUGUUGUCCUCAGCAAGAGGGUGUUGUGAGUCUAUGUUGGUGGCCACUCCACAGUGACCUCUGACAUGCAAAUUGAGGGUAGGAGUGACCACAGUUUGCUCCUUCGGUGGCACCACUGACAAUAGCAGAUGGUAAGCAUUUCUUGCUUUUGGUGGUAGAGUCCUUAAAGGGGACUGGGUUCUGCACUCACAAUUAAUGUGACAUAU
This 274-nucleotide long non-coding RNA is filed under the name Chinchilla lanigera (long-tailed chinchilla). Its description in RNAcentral is "lncRNA (ENSCLAG00000025782.1)". The record is from RNAcentral. Lineage: Eukaryota; Metazoa; Chordata; Mammalia; Rodentia; Chinchillidae.